ACUCAAAGGAAUUGACGGGGGCUCACACAAGCGGUGGAGCAUGUGGCUUAAUUCGAGGCUACGCGAAGAACCUUAUCCUGGACUUGACAUAUGCGAAAGCGUUAGCAAGUAGAACCCGGAAACGGGAACGAACGGUAUCCAAUCCGGAAGCUAAUACAGGUGCUGCAUGGCUGUCGUCAGCUCGUGUCGUGAGAUGUCGGGUUAAGUCCCAUAACGAGCGCAACCCUUGUCUUCAGUUGCCAGCGAGUAAAGUCGGGGACUCUGAAGAGACUGCCGGCGUCAAGCCGGAGGAAGGCGGGGAUGACGUCAAGUCCUCAUGGCCUUUAUGUCCAGGGCUGCACACGUGCUACAAUGGCACGCACAAAGGGAUGCAAGCUCGCGAGAGCAAGCCAAUCCCAAAAAACGUGCCUCAGUUCAGAUCGAAGGCUGCAACUCGCCUUCGUGAAGUUGGAAUCGCUAGUAAUCGCGGGUCAGCAACACCGCGGUGAAUGUGUUCCUGAGCCUUGCACACACCGCCCGU
This 520-nucleotide ribosomal RNA is filed under the name uncultured bacterium. RNAcentral describes it as "partial 16S ribosomal RNA". It matches the Rfam family "Bacterial small subunit ribosomal RNA", at positions 899 to 1397 of the family's 1533-position model. The record is from RNAcentral.